GACGGAGGUGGCGAGCGUUGCUCGGAUUCAUUGGGUGUAAAGGGCAUGUAGGCGGCCUGAUAAGCCCUGGCUGAAAUCCUCCAGCUCAACUGGAGAACUGGUCAGGGGACUGCCGGGCUUGAGUGCGGAAGAGGAGAGCGGAAUUCCCGGUGUAAGGGUGAAAUCUGUAGAGAUCGGGAGGAACACCAGUGGCGAAGGCGGCUCUCUGGUCCGCAACUGACGCUGAGAGGCGAAAGCGUGGGGAGCAAACAGGAUUAGAAACCCCGGUAGU
Molecule: ribosomal RNA, 271 nt
Filed under: uncultured bacterium
Lineage: Bacteria
Description: partial 16S ribosomal RNA
Rfam family: Bacterial small subunit ribosomal RNA
Source: RNAcentral